CGAAAUGCGAUAAGUAAUGUGAAUUGCAGAAUUCAGUGAAUCAUCGAAUCUUUGAACGCGCCUUGCGCUCCUUGGUAUUCCUUGGAGCAUGCCUGUUUGAGUAUCAUGAAAUCUUCAAAGUAAAUCUUUUGUUAACUCAAUUGGUUUCUACUUUGGUAUUGGAGGUCUUUGCAGCUUCACACCUGCUCCUCUUUGUUCAUUAGCUGGAUCUCAGUGUUAUGCUUGGUUCCACUCGGCGUGAUAAGUUAUCUAUCGCUGAGGACACUGUAAAAGGUGGCCAAGGUAAAUGCAGAUGAACCGCUUCUAAUAGUCCAUUGACUUGGACAAUACUUUUAUGAUCUGAUCUCAAAUCAGGUAGGACUACCCGCUGAACUUAAGC
This 379-nucleotide unclassified non-coding RNA is filed under the name plant metagenome. RNAcentral describes it as "partial contains 5.8S ribosomal RNA, internal transcribed spacer 2, and large subunit ribosomal RNA". The stretch from base 1 to 106 matches the Rfam family "5.8S ribosomal RNA", at positions 49 to 154 of the family's 154-position model. The record is from RNAcentral.